Molecule: ribosomal RNA, 322 nt
Filed under: Eutypella sp. CL097C
Lineage: Eukaryota; Fungi; Ascomycota; Sordariomycetes; Xylariales; Diatrypaceae
Also listed under: 1 other name
Description: LSU rRNA
Rfam family: Eukaryotic large subunit ribosomal RNA
Source: RNAcentral
AGACCGAUAGCGAACAAGUAGAGUGAUCGAAAGAUGAAAAGUACUUUGAAAAGAGGGUUAAAUAGCACGUGAAAUUGUUGAAAGGGAAGCGUUUAUGACCAGACCUUCGUCGGGCGGAUCAUCCGGUGUUCUUCACCGGUGCACUUCGCCCGGCUUAGGCCAGCAUCGGUUUUCGUAGGGGGAUAAAGGCCUAGGGAAUGUGGCUCCCUCCGGGGAGUGUUAUAGCCCUGGGCGUAAUACCUUUAUGGGGACCGAGGUUCGCGCUCCGGCAAGGAUGCUGGCGUAAUGGUCAUCAACGACCCGUCUUGAAACACGGACCAAG